GAUGAACGCUGGCGGCGUGCUUAACACAUGCAAGUCGAACGGAUUUACGAUGAAGCCUAGCGAUUCGUAAGUUAGUGGCGGACGGGUGAGUAACGCGUUGGUAACCUGCCCCGAAGAGAGGGAUAACAAUUCGAAAGAAUUGCUAAUACCCCAUGUGAUCCUCAGCAUUAGAUGGCUGAUGAUUAAACGGAUUUAUUCGCUUUGGGAGGGGCCUGCGUCCCAUCAGCUAGUUGGUAGGGUAAUGGCCUACCAAGGCUAUGACGGGUAGGGGACCUGAGAGGGUGACCCCCACACUGGCACUGAAACACGGGCCAGACACCUACGGGUGGCAG
RNAcentral lists this ribosomal RNA (332 nucleotides) under uncultured Chloroflexota bacterium. RNAcentral describes it as "bacterial SSU rRNA". It matches the Rfam family "Bacterial small subunit ribosomal RNA", at positions 28 to 351 of the family's 1533-position model. The record is from RNAcentral. Lineage: Bacteria; Bacillati; Chloroflexota.